CCCGGGCCUUGUACACACCGCCCGUCACACCACGAAAGUUGGUAACACCCGAAGCCAGUGGCCCAACCGCAAGGGAGGGAGCUGUCGAAGGUGGGACCAGCGAUUGGGGUG
This 111-nucleotide ribosomal RNA is filed under the name uncultured bacterium. RNAcentral describes it as "partial 16S ribosomal RNA". It matches the Rfam family "Bacterial small subunit ribosomal RNA", at positions 1373 to 1482 of the family's 1533-position model. The record is from RNAcentral.